Trichoplusia ni (cabbage looper) is the source of this 782-nucleotide long non-coding RNA. RefSeq lists it as uncharacterized. The record is from RefSeq and is a predicted model, not a curated record. The transcript has 4 exons. NCBI's taxonomy places the organism in Eukaryota, Metazoa, Arthropoda, Insecta, Lepidoptera, Noctuidae.
AGAAGAAAUAGACAAAUACAAGAAUGUUUUGUGUGACACGACUGGUUUAGAGAUCGAUCCAAACGAUGGUUUUCCUCAAAAAAUAUGCAAACAGUGCAAAGAAGACGUUCAGUCCGCAUCCUUACUACGUAUUAAAAGUCAAACAAGCGAUAUAGAACUGAAGAAUUUACGCAAGAAAUACGAAAACACAAAAACCGAAAUAUAUACAACAAAAAUUGAAGAAAUACACACUGAAUUAGCAGAUCAUCAUGAUAUAUGCAUAGAAAUUAACAAUUCAAAUCCUAAUAUGCCAAUACCAGAAAUAAAAAUCGAAAUACAAUGUGACAGUUCAAAAGAAGAUGGCGUCACAACAUGGCGGGCAGAGGAACCUGUUAAAAAGUUAUCGAGGAAGGAAAAGAGACAAAGAUAUUUGGAUUUAGUGGAAGGAAAGUUGGACCCGUGUGGUCCAGUCAAGUGCAGAGUUUGUAAGAAAUCGGUCAGCAAAUGGUCCUGUUUCAUAAGCCACGCGAAAUUACAUUUGGGGUUCAAUUUCAUGUGUGAAUUCUGUGGCAAAGUUUCAUAUCGACAACACAAUUGAAACGCCACUGCAGGUCGUAUCACGGCAUGGAGAGGGACCUGCAAUGCAAACACUGCAGCUAUCUCGCUUUAGAUAAUGCGCAACUUAAGGUACACACACGUCGUCAGCAUACAUUUGAGCGUCCCUACGUGUGCGACACCUGCAGUGCUUCAUAUCACAGCCGGCGGUGCCUAGUGCAGCACCUGGAGAGCCAUCGGACUGUCGC